GGCAGGCGCAGCACCGGGAGAAGGCCCGCGCGGCCGGCAUCAGGCCCAUGGCGCGCCCGGUGCGGCGGCGCAGGAAUGCCCGGCACGCGCGCAGGUAGCGUCUUGCCCGCCCGCCCCCGGCCCCCGGACCCUGCAGGGAGGGCGGGAGGGAGGGCCUGCGCUCGCGAGUUCCCGAGAUGCCACGCCUGGAGUUGGCCCUCGGGAGAGCUCCCCGUUCAGACGUCUCACCCCCUUUCCCCGAAUGCUUGAUGGGACCAGGCUCCGCAGGAAUGAAUGCUGGCAGCGGCUCCCAACGAGGGUCCCUUCCUCCCGGGGCGCCGAGGACUCGCUCUAGCAGCUCCCAUUCCUUGCAGGCUGGGAGGCAGGUGUUCCCGGUGGAGCAGCGGAGGCCCAGGAAGGUCAGACGGGGAAAGGAAGACACCAAGUGAUUCCAGAACUGGCUUGACAGCCUGCAAGGGCCUGUCUGAUGGUGGUCACGGCAAAGCCCCCAAGGACCAGGAGUCACUCAUGUCACAUAAGCUUCAUUUGAGUUCCCACCAAACUUGUCUCCGUCCUGCCCAGAGGUCGGCAGGUGCUCUCCUGCCCAGCUGGGCCCCUGCCUCAAGUCCUGCCCUCCUGCCACUCUGAGCCUGCACGUCUUCUUAAAUGUUUACAUAUGCAUAUUUUUAUAUACCCAUGUUCAGCUUUUAAGAAAUGGCCACAACCGACUUCCCCAGUGAGGGCACCAUUCCGCUGCAGGCCAGCAGAGGACGAGAGCUCCAGACUUCACUGGCCGGCACCUGGGCUUGUCGGUCUUCCUACUCCUGGCCGCUCUGAUAUGUGUGCAGAGGGACAGCGCCGUGUUUAAAUUUCCAGCUCCCAAAUGACGAAUAAUUUUGGACACCUUUUUUUAUGUACUUCACUUCCAUCUGUGUCUCUCCUUCGGUGAAAUCUCUGUUAAAAUCAUUUGUCCAUUUUUUGAAAUGGAUUGUUCAUUUUUGCCUUAUUGAGUUUGGAGAGUUCUUUACAUAUUUUGGAUACAAGUCCUUUAUCCGAUCUGUGCUCUGCAAAUCUUUCUCCCAUCUGUCCCUCU
Lutra lutra (Eurasian river otter) is the source of this 1072-nucleotide long non-coding RNA. RefSeq lists it as uncharacterized. The transcript has 3 exons. Lineage: Eukaryota; Metazoa; Chordata; Mammalia; Carnivora; Mustelidae. The record is from RefSeq and is a predicted model, not a curated record.